RNAcentral lists this ribosomal RNA (575 nucleotides) under Staphylococcus aureus. RNAcentral describes it as "partial 23S ribosomal RNA". It matches the Rfam family "Bacterial large subunit ribosomal RNA", at positions 328 to 906 of the family's 2925-position model. Lineage: Bacteria; Bacillati; Bacillota; Bacilli; Caryophanales; Staphylococcaceae. The record is from RNAcentral.
AUUAGACGAAUCAUCUGGAAAGAUGAAUCAAAGAAGGUAAUAAUCCUGUAGUCGAAAAUGUUGUCUCUCUUGAGUGGAUCCUGAGUACGACGGAGCACGUGAAAUUCCGUCGGAAUCUGGGAGGACCAUCUCCUAAGGCUAAAUACUCUCUAGUGACCGAUAGUGAACCAGUACCGUGAGGGAAAGGUGAAAAGCACCCCGGAAGGGGAGUGAAAUAGAACCUGAAACCGUGUGCUUACAAGUAGUCAGAGCCCGUUAAUGGGUGAUGGCGUGCCUUUUGUAGAAUGAACCGGCGAGUUACGAUUUGAUGCAAGGUUAAGCAGUAAAUGUGGAGCCGUAGCGAAAGCGAGUCUGAAUAGGGCGUUUAGUAUUUGGUCGUAGACCCGAAACCAGGUGAUCUACCCUUGGUCAGGUUGAAGUUCAGGUAACACUGAAUGGAGGACCGAACCGACUUACGUUGAAAAGUGAGCGGAUGAACUGAGGGUAGCGGAGAAAUUCCAAUCGAACCUGGAGAUAGCUGGUUCUCUCCGAAAUAGCUUUAGGGCUAGCCUCAAGUGAUGAUUAUUGGAGGUAGA